AGGUGGGGGUCUGUGGUGGUGUAGAGAUGGUAGGUGGUGGUCUGUGGAGGUGUAGCGAUGGUAGGUGGGGGUCUGUGGUGGUGUAGAGAUGGUAGGUGGUGGUCUGUGGUGGUGUAGAGAUGGUUGGUGGGGGUCUGUGGUGUUGUAGAGAUGGUCUGUGGUUGUCUGUGGUGGUGUAGAGAUGGUAGGUAGGGGUCUGUGGUGGUGUAGAGAAUGUAGGUGGGGGUCUGUGGUGGUGUAGAGAUGGUCUGUGUUGGUCUGUGGUGGUGUUGAGAUGGUAGGUGGUCGUGUAGAGAUGGUAGGUGAUGGUCUGUGGUGGUGUAGAGAUGGUAGGUGGGGGUCUGUGGUGGUGUAGAGAUUUUAGGUGGUGGUCUGUGGUGGUGUAGAGAUGGUAGGUGGUGGUGUAGAGAUGGUCUGUGGUGGUGUAGAGAUGGUAGGUGGUGGUCUGUGGAGGUGUAGAGAUGGUAGGUGGUGGUGUAGAGAUGGUCUGUGGUGGUGUAGAGAUGGU
RNAcentral lists this long non-coding RNA (508 nucleotides) under Salmo salar (Atlantic salmon). Its description in RNAcentral is "lncRNA (ENSSSAG00000098922.1)". Lineage: Eukaryota; Metazoa; Chordata; Actinopteri; Salmoniformes; Salmonidae. The record is from RNAcentral.